RNAcentral lists this long non-coding RNA (3689 nucleotides) under Sus scrofa (pig). RNAcentral's name for it is "lncRNA (ENSSSCG00045009050.1)". Lineage: Eukaryota; Metazoa; Chordata; Mammalia; Artiodactyla; Suidae. The record is from RNAcentral.
GCUUUUGAGUAUUGUCUUCAUCAAAUUCCAGCUCCUUGUCUGUCCUGGCUCUAUUUGCACUGCACGAGCAAUGUCUCCACCUGCAAGGCCUAGAAGGCAGGCUCAGUAUGUCCAAAGCCAACCUCUGCUGCGCUCCAGCCCGCAGCAACCACCCACCCAUCGGCUCUUCCCCUGGUCCUCCCAGCGUGAUUAAUGGCAACUAGCCUUCCCUCGAGGUGCUCAGGCUGGACACCUUGGAGACAUCCUGGAAGCCUUGGUCUCACCCUCCACCUGCCCUUCCUUCCGCACAUCGUAUGGCGAUGUAAGAAACAGCUUAUCAUCUCUCCUACCUCCAUCAGCCACCAAGGCCCAGGCCACCAGCGUCUCUUACCUGGAUGACUGUAGUGCCUCUCAACUGUCUCCCACUGUCACCCUUGCACGACAGGCCAGACUGCUUCUUGAAAAGCCUGUGUUAAAACAAUAGUUCUGAGGCUCUCGGGCUCAGAAGCUUUCAGGGCUUUCCCAUCUUCCUCCGUGUAAAAGCUCAAGACUUGACAGUAUUGAUGUGGCCCCUCCGCCUUCAUCUUUGACCUCCCCUCCCCAUCCCCCCCCCUUGGUGUGUGUGUGGUGGGGGGUCUUCCUCAUUCGCUGCCCUCUGGCUACAGAGGUCUCCUUUUUUUCCUUCAAGAAGCAAAAUGGCUCCCACCUGAGGGCAUUUGUGCUUGUCAUCUACUCUGCCGUGAGCUCUGUCCCCAGGGAUCCCUCCUCACUUUCCAGUCCUGCUCGCCUGUUGCCGUUCCAGAGGUGUUCUUCCCGACCAACCUCGGUGAAGCUGUGACCCUCCAUGCACUCGCUGCAGAGCUCUGGUACAACACAGAUCACGACCCAGUUACGUUCUGUCUCUUCCGCUGUGGCCUGAAUUCCCAAAAAACAAGUGCUGUCAUCUUUAGAUUCCCCACCUAGCACAGUGCCUUGUUCCCAGGAGGAGUGAAACAGAUAGCUGUCAACUGAAAAAGAAGAUGCUCAACUUCAAAGUUGAGAAUUGGGAAUUCCUUGAUGGCUCAGUGGGUUAGGGAGCUGGCGUUGUCAGAUACCGGUUCGAUCCCUGGCCCAGGAUCUUCUACAUGCUGCAAGCGUAGCCAAAAAAAUAAAUAAAUAAAACAAACUGGGAAAAAAAAGCUCGAGAAUUAUGUUUCAUUUAGGGGACUUACUGAGGACUUAAGUCCAGGAUACAGCUUCUCAGAUAGCUCAGAGAGGCUCUUCCUGAAUAGGUAAGACAGAAGUCAGGAUAAGUAAGAGUUUUCGUAAAAAAAAACAAAAAAAGCCCACGACAUCAAAACCACAAACAGGAGUUUCUGCUUUGGCACGAUGGGAUUGGCGGCAUCUCUGCAGCACCAGGAUGAAAGUUCGAUCCCCAGCCCAGCACGCUGGGUUAACAGGAUCUGGCAUUGCCACAGCUGUGACAGAGCACACCUGUGGCCUGGAUCUGAUCCCUGGCCCUUAUGUUCUGGGGCAGCCAAAAAAGAAGGGGGUGGGGGGAAUAGGUGGUCAGAGUAUCAAAAGAUUACUAUUAAAGAAAAAACCAUACAUCUCAAGUUAAUGAACUUAAUACUCUUGUAAAGAUACUUACGUAAAGAUACAAUAGUCUAGGCUUGUUGAAUUAUUUCUUUGAUAUUCACCUUAACUGUAUCUGGCCAAUACCCAGUUUUCCUCCAUCCUGAAUCCCCUCAGUGCAGACAGGGAUGGCUGCAGUGGCUCAUGGCUUGGUGGACUCAACAUUAUUAAUUUACUGAAAUGGCAGGCAUCAUUCUAUGUCCAUAAUGUUUCCUCUUGGUCCUAAAUUCGACCAUUGUUUGGGAUGCAUUUCAUAACCAAUUUUGUCCCAUGGUGCUAGGAAGGCUCAUUCCUACAUCAGGCAAAGACUCUGAUAUGCCAUUCAAUCUGCCCAUUUUUUGGAUGAGGCUCUAUGGAUCAUCUAAAAUUCUCCGCAUCACCCAUCUUACUAGUCUCUUAGGAUCUAGUAAAUGUUUUCCCUUAUUGCUUCUUCCCAUACCUAGAGUUACACUGUUACCAUUAUUCUAUGUAGAAUUAUGUGUGAUCAGCUGCCUCAAGACUUUCAACCAUCAUUAAUUUUGUCAGCGGCCUGGUUACAUGUUGGGUAAUGUGAGAGUAAUGAUCAUAUAAAACAGAAAAGACACAGGUAAUAGAGUUAGUAACAUUAAGUCAUGGUAGGUCAGAGAGAAACACAAGGUACAAGUACUUUGAAAAUAGUAAGAGAGCAAAUUACAACAGUGAUUCGUAUAACUAGUUUAAAUCUGGUUGCAACAAGCCAUCAAGUCCACAGGGGAGCCAGCUAGAGAAGCCAAAUUCUGGAAGCAUCAGGUAGAGAGAAAAAGACCAAGGUUUCAUCAUCAUCAUUUACAAAGGUAUACUUUAUCAACUUGUUAUAGAUCAUAGUUUGCAUAGAGGAACUAUUUUCUGGAAAAGAUUAAAAGCCAGUAUAUUUCAGGAGUCAGAAAAUUGUCAUACUUAUCAAGUCAUUCAAUUCUUUGUGACUAAUUCCUGUUGAUCUGCUUGAAGUCAUCAGUUUUUAAAUUACUUUUGUUAAUUCCUGCCCAAGUUCAGUUGUAUGAUACAAAAGUUAUCAGCACACAUUUAUGAAAAAGUCCUUUUAUGAAUCUUCUUGAAGAUGUCCAUUUUAUAAAAUAUAUCGAAGGUUUACCUCCAAACAUUCGAUAAUGCUUCAAGUAAUUUAACAUACCAAAUAGGCUUAAUUAGUUUAAUAUUCCCUGGAGAUGCCUUAGGGCUCCUUUGAAGCAUCCCAGAGUUAGCUGGAGGUCAAAAGAACUUCAAUUAGAAUUUGGUAUUUGAGAAGUUUGUCAAAAAUACCAAAAAGAUUUCAAAACACCUGGUCAAAUAAGAUCGUAAGUCAUUAUGAAACAAUACUUAUUCAUUUAACCAAAGUACCAAAAUAUUUCAAAAGCAAAUAUAAGUCACUUAAAAGGUAAAGAAACAUACAUCAAAAGCAAUAUCCCAAGAAAACUCUGUUCUCUCAAAAGAGAGAGAAAUGAAAUCCAGUCCUGCACCAGCCUACCUCAACCCGACUGUGCACAAAACUCCCUUUUCAGGGCUUCAUUUCCAUAAAUCUUUCAGAGCUUUCUGUUUCCCUAUGAAUUUGUCCUUGCCCACCACUCACACUUCCUCAAUUGGUGAGCAGCUCACCAACUGCUGUCGCUGGCCUUUCUUUGCUCACUUUGCUUUCUUCUUUCUUUUUUUUUUUUUCCUUUUACAGCUGCACUUGCAGCAUAUGGAAAUUCCUGAGCUAGGUGUUAACCUAUGCCAUAGCUUACAGCAAUGCCAGAUUCCUUAACUCACUGGGAGAAACCAGGGAUUGAACCCACAUCCUCCAGAGACAACACUAGGUCCUUAACCCAUUGAGUCACAAUGGGAACUCCUCGCUCUGCUUUCUUCUACAUUACAGUCAUCCUUCCUACCUUUACCCCUCUCCAAACCAGACACCUUAGACCUUCAAGCACUCUUGAUGUGACUUGGCUUCAAACUCCUUAUGCACGAUAAUCCAACUUGGCAUGUAUUAAGAAUGCUUCGUCGUAGCCUUGUUAAGUAGGAUGCUCCAAACUUGAUCUAUAUCUAUAGGAGCUGUGGCUUUACUAAGACUGAAUCAGACUGGGAGCAAAGAAGACCAAAGAAUA